UCCGAAUAAGGCAGUUACCUUCUUAAGUAAUGCUGAUUUCCAAGAGUAAAAUCUCACCAUAGAAUGAGUUUUAACACAAUAUUGUCCUCAGGAAACACAAACAACUUGUGUUGAUCCCAAUGAGGAAAACCUCGAUAGAGGAGUUUGUAAUAUUGUCCUCAGGAAACACAAACAACUUGUGUUGAUCCUAAUGACGAAAACCUCAGUAGAGGAGUUUUUUGUAAUAUUGUCCUCAGGAAACACAAACAACUUGUGUUGAUCCUAAUGAGGAAAACCUCAACAGAGGAGUUUGUAAUAUUGUCCUCA
This is a long non-coding RNA of Saccostrea echinata, 306 nucleotides long. RefSeq lists it as uncharacterized. The transcript has 3 exons. The record is from RefSeq and is a predicted model, not a curated record. Lineage: Eukaryota; Metazoa; Mollusca; Bivalvia; Ostreida; Ostreidae.